This 494-nucleotide ribosomal RNA is filed under the name uncultured bacterium. RNAcentral's name for it is "bacterial SSU rRNA". It matches the Rfam family "Bacterial small subunit ribosomal RNA", at positions 26 to 518 of the family's 1533-position model. The record is from RNAcentral.
AGGACGAACGCUGGCGGCGUGCUUAACACAUGCAAGUCGAACGAGGAUAUACCUGGAAAGCUUCGGCCGGAAGGGUGUAUCGAGUGGCGGACGGGUGAGUAACGCGUGAGCAAUCUGUCCCAGACAGGGGGAUAACACUUGGAAACAGGUGCUAAUACCGCAUAAGACCACAGUGUCGCAUGGCACAGGGGUAAAAGGAGCGAUCCGGUUUGGGGUGAGCUCGCGUCCGAUUAGCCAGUUGGCGGGGUAACGGCCCACCAAAGCGACGAUCGGUAGCCGACCUGAGAGGGUGAUCGGCCACAUUGGAACUGAGAGACGGUCCAAACUCCUACGGGAGGCAGCAGUGGGGAAUAUUGGGCAAUGGGCGAAAGCCCUGACCCAGCAACGCCGCGUGAGUGAAGAAGGCCUUCGGGUUGUAAAGCUCUGUUAUAGGGGACGAAGGAAGUGACGGUACCCUAUAAGGAAGCCCCGGCUAACUACGUGCCAGCCGCUGC